AAACUUGACUUUUCAAAAUCCUUUCCUCUUCUGCCCAUCUCUCACUGGUUUGGCCUUCCUGUGAGCGGCCGCCCGACCCUCACAUCUCUGACCGCGGUUGUUGGUCUUUUCUUUUUGUCGUUCUCUUCGGAAAAAUAACUCAAGUCCCUACCACCCCUUUUGUUCUGACUUUCCGUCGACAGAGGUUUAUGGUGACCUGUUUGUUUUCUCGCCAGUGGACCGCCUCUAGUCCACUCGGCUUAUGUUUUGUUUGUUUCAAUAGGUCCUCCAUGCAUGGUGGAUCCCCGCUGACGUUUGGCCUCGAAGGCUUGCGCAUGUAAACAUCGAUCAAGCUGCACCAGACCCUCUCUGUUCGGUUGCUGACGCCCACUCGAAGGUAUAAAAUUGACAUUAUAUAAUUAAGGUUAAAUAAUUAAGUUAUUUAGUAAUGUUAAAGAAAUUUUAUGUUUAAGUUGGUAGAUAUAUUUUAAUUGUUG
RNAcentral lists this long non-coding RNA (476 nucleotides) under Gossypium barbadense (sea-island cotton). RNAcentral's name for it is "long non-coding RNA (GBAR_LNC022323)". Lineage: Eukaryota; Viridiplantae; Streptophyta; Magnoliopsida; Malvales; Malvaceae. The record is from RNAcentral.